CCUGCACCCUAGAGGAUUAUUGCUUCUGUGUCACAUGUGUGUCAGCAGGUGGCAGAGAAGAGAGAGGCUAUGUCUCUGGUCAGCCUUUUGACCUAUGAACAUCUGAAUGAUUAGUAGCCUAGCAUU
Molecule: small nucleolar RNA, 126 nt
Organism: Grammomys surdaster
Lineage: Eukaryota; Metazoa; Chordata; Mammalia; Rodentia; Muridae
Product: small nucleolar RNA SNORA17
Exons: 1
Source: RefSeq, a predicted model, not a curated record